RNAcentral lists this small RNA (70 nucleotides) under Mesobacillus persicus. RNAcentral's name for it is "Bacillus sp. B48(2010) Listeria sRNA sbrA". It matches the Rfam family "Listeria sRNA sbrA". The record is from Rfam by way of RNAcentral. Lineage: Bacteria; Bacillati; Bacillota; Bacilli; Caryophanales; Bacillaceae.
UUACAGCUAGAUCCAUACCCCUAAACUCCCUAGAUGAAAGACAGCGCCAAACAUGCGCUGUCCUUUUUUU